GAUGAACGCUGGCGGCGUGCUUAACACAUGCAAGUCGAACGGAAAGGCUCCUGCUUGCAGGGGUACUCGAGUGGCGAACGGGUGAGUAACACGUGGGUGAUCUGCCCAGCACUUCGGGAUAAGCCUGGGAAACUGGGUCUAAUACCGGAUAGGACGAUGGUUUGGAUGCCAUUGUGGAAGGUUUUUUCGGUGUGGGAUGAGCUCGCGGCCUAUCAGCUUGUUGGUGGGGUAAUGGCCUACCAAGGCGUCGACGGGUAGCCGGCCUGAGAGGGUGUACGGCCACAUUGGGACUGAGAUACGGCCCAGACUCCUACGGGAGGCAGCAGUGGGGAAUAUUGCACAAUGGGCGCAAGCCUGAUGCAGCGACGCCGCGUGGGGGAUGACGGCCUUCGGGUUGUAAACUCCUUUCGCUAGGGACGAAGCGCAAGUGACGGUACCUGGAGAAGAAGCACCGGCUAACUACGUG
This 466-nucleotide ribosomal RNA is filed under the name uncultured bacterium. RNAcentral's name for it is "partial 16S ribosomal RNA". It matches the Rfam family "Bacterial small subunit ribosomal RNA", at positions 28 to 507 of the family's 1533-position model. The record is from RNAcentral.